AUUGAACGCUGGCGGCAGGCUUAACACAUGCAAGUCUAGCGAGCGGCGGACGGGUGCGUAAUGUCUGGGAAACUGCCUGAUGUAGGGGUAUAACUACUGGAAAUGGUAUCUAAUACCGCAUACCAUCAGAUUUUCCCAGAUGGGAUUAGCUAGUAGGUGGGGUAAUGGCUCACCUAGGCGACGAUCCCUAGCUGGCCUGAGAGGAUGAACAGCCACACUGGAACUGCGCAACGGUCGAGACUCAUACGGAAGGCAGCAGUGGAGAAUAUUGCACAAUGGGCGAAAGCCUGAUGCAGCCAUGACGCGUGUGUGAAGAAGGCCUUCGGGUUGUAAAGCACUUUCAGCGAGGAGGCGUUAAUAGCAGAAGAAGCACCGGAUAACUCCGUGCCAGCAGCCGCGGUAAUUC
This 406-nucleotide ribosomal RNA is filed under the name uncultured bacterium. RNAcentral describes it as "partial 16S ribosomal RNA". It matches the Rfam family "Bacterial small subunit ribosomal RNA", at positions 30 to 526 of the family's 1533-position model. The record is from RNAcentral.